GACGAACGCUGGCGGCGUGCUUAACACAUGCAAGUCGAACGGUGACCCAGGGCUUGCCCUGGUGAUCAGUGGCGAACGGGUGAGUAACACGUGGGCAACCUGCCCCUGACUUCGGGAUAACUCCUCGAAAGAGGAGCUAAUACCGGAUACGACCACUUCGGACAUCCGAUGGUGGUGGAAAGUUUUUCGGUCAGGGAUGGGCCCGCGGCCUAUCAGCUAGUUGGUGGGGUAAUGGCCUACCAAGGCGACGACGGGUAGCCGGCCUGAGAGGGCGACCGGGCCACACUGGGACUGAGACACGGGCCCAGACUCCUACGGGAGGCAGCAGUGGGGAAUAUUGCGCAAUGGGCGAAAGCCUGACGCAGCGACGCCGCGUGAGGGAUGAAGGCCUUCGGGUUGUAACCGU
This 406-nucleotide ribosomal RNA is filed under the name uncultured bacterium. Its description in RNAcentral is "bacterial SSU rRNA". It matches the Rfam family "Bacterial small subunit ribosomal RNA", at positions 28 to 432 of the family's 1533-position model. The record is from RNAcentral.